This 867-nucleotide long non-coding RNA is filed under the name Triticum aestivum (bread wheat). RNAcentral's name for it is "long non-coding RNA (TAES_LNC000045)". Lineage: Eukaryota; Viridiplantae; Streptophyta; Magnoliopsida; Poales; Poaceae. The record is from RNAcentral.
CGAGUAGAUAGACUGACACAGACAACAGUAAGCAUACCUCUUGUCAAUCUGCACUUCAGAGCCUAGUUACUUUUUGAGCCAAUAUAUGCAUCAACUCAGGAUCCUCCGCUGUAUAAACCUGGUAUCACGAAGAAAGGCAACAAUAAGUAUACCUCUUCUCAAUCUGCACUUCGGAGCCUAGAUUUUGUAUCAAUCUCAAUAUGAAAACUGAAGCAAUAUACAUUGGCAUACCAGGAAGAAAGGCAACAAUACCCAGCAACAAAUAGGCCAUACACCUGAGAGCUGUCAGCAUCCAUGUGACCUUGAAACUGCAUAAGGAAAUAUCAUAGCAAAAGUUUAAUAUUGUCUGAUAGGACACAACAGCCAUGUAUCUUUCUAAGAAAGUUGACAAUCAGCUUGUAAACAAAAUACCUUGCUAGUUGCAAAACAACCUUCGGUAUCAUCUUUGUAUCAUUAUGUAGCAAAGGUCCCUACUUUAUAUUAGCCUAACAAACCUGCCGAAGCUAUCUGCACAACUCCACAAAAAUCAGAAAAGAAUUAAGAGAAUUAGUAUUAAAAGGAGAUGAGCAGUAUGCCUACAAGGAUGAAAUAAUAGGAUGGAUUGACAUGAACUACACACGCAUUAGUACCUGCAGUUCAAUAUCCCAAUGCCCUUAAGAAUUUCUACUACUCCUGAUCUGAAAGUGUUCAACUUAACCAAAUAGAUUGUUACUUAUCUUUGGCUCUGAACAAUACUGACUUAUAAACAGUUAUAAGCAUCAAAUUUCAAAGAAUCACAGAUCAACAAGUUGCUGGCUGAUCUGUCAUACAUGUAUUUAUUUUUUCAAUGGUAUGCUUGCCCUUGGGACAAAGCUUUGAAUUGGCUAG